RNAcentral lists this ribosomal RNA (102 nucleotides) under Phascolarctos cinereus (koala). The record is from RNAcentral. Lineage: Eukaryota; Metazoa; Chordata; Mammalia; Diprotodontia; Phascolarctidae.
UGUAUUCAUCCUGAAUGCCCAAUUUCUUCUAAUUUUGGAAAUUAAGCAAGAUGUGGCCUGGUUAGUACUGGGCAUACUGGGAGCUGUAGGCUUAAAAGAGAA